CUCGUCGUAGCUCAGUGGAAGAGCGCCCGGCUCUGGCCCGGGUGGACGCCGGUUCGAGCCCGGCCGACCAGAC
Molecule: transfer RNA, 73 nt
Filed under: Nocardia rhizosphaerihabitans
Lineage: Bacteria; Bacillati; Actinomycetota; Actinomycetes; Mycobacteriales; Nocardiaceae
Description: tRNA-Gln
Rfam family: tRNA
About the family: Transfer RNA (tRNA) molecules are approximately 80 nucleotides in length. Their secondary structure includes four short double-helical elements and three loops (D, anti-codon, and T loops). Further hydrogen bonds mediate the characteristic L-shaped molecular structure. tRNAs have two regions of fundamental functional importance: the anti-codon, which is responsible for specific mRNA codon recognition, and the 3' end, to which the tRNAs corresponding amino acid is attached (by aminoacyl-tRNA synthetases). tRNAs cope with the degeneracy of the genetic code in two manners: having more than one tRNA (with a specific anti-codon) for a particular amino acid; and 'wobble' base-pairing, i.e. permitting non-standard base-pairing at the 3rd anti-codon position.
Source: RNAcentral